UACGGAGGGUGCAAGCGUUAUCCGGAUUCACUGGGUUUAAAGGGUGUGUAGGCGGAUAAUUAAGUCAGUGGUGAAAUCUCCGGGCUCAACCCGGAAACUGCCAUUGAUACUAUUUAUCUUGAAUUCUGUUGAGGUGGGCGGAAUACAUCAUGUAGCGGUGAAAUGCUUAGAUAUGAUGUAGAACACCGAUUGCGAAGGCAGCUCACUAAGCAGACAUUGACGCUGAGGCACGAAAGCGUGGGGAUCAAACAGG
RNAcentral lists this ribosomal RNA (253 nucleotides) under uncultured bacterium. RNAcentral's name for it is "partial 16S ribosomal RNA". It matches the Rfam family "Bacterial small subunit ribosomal RNA", at positions 524 to 776 of the family's 1533-position model. The record is from RNAcentral.